Molecule: signal recognition particle RNA, 91 nt
Filed under: marine sediment metagenome
Also listed under: 1 other name
Description: Bacterial small signal recognition particle RNA
Rfam family: Bacterial small signal recognition particle RNA
About the family: The signal recognition particle (SRP) is a universally conserved ribonucleoprotein involved in the co-translational targeting of proteins to membranes.
Source: RNAcentral
CGGUCCCCUCGCGACGAAAAACUGUGAACUCCGCCAGGCCCGGAAGGGAGCAACGGCAGCAGUGGUCUCGGGCGCCGGGGUGUGGCUGGUA